UUUGACCCCAAUGGGAGGGAUGUCUUUUGCUGGUCCUGGACAGCGGGUCUCUCCAAACCUGCUCCUCUCUGGGCUGAGAACCACCCGGUCCCAGUGUGCCUCCCAGAGAAGCAUCUUAUGGAAAGGCAGCAGCUCGGGUCCCCGACCACUUUCUCCUGACACCACCAGAGUCACAAGCGCUGCAUCUAGCUAUGGGGGAGAGGACCACCCUAACGCACCAAUAUAUAGCUGAGGUGCAGGUUUGAGGGCCCCCAGCACAGCUGAGCCUUACCUACAAGGUCCUUUACACUUGGGAGUCCUGGGCACAAGCAGCAACAUGGGCCCCCACCUGGGAUCAUUAAAUCACAGACAGUGUAAUUUUACCUUCCUUCUAACUCCCUCCUGUGGGUGACUCUCCUACAUGCCUCACUCGGCCCCUCUGGCCCCAGAUUUUGUAGAACACGACAAAUGCUCCCUCUGACAAGUGGGGUGCAGGAGCCUGCCUGCCAAAUCAGGAGCCAGACCUCUGACCUGCGUCUUCGGGAACGGCAACGGCCAAGCCUUCUAUUCAAGUCCCAGCCCAGGCUGGGGUUUCCAGCCUGACCUUUGCUCCCCUGCAGGGUCGCCGUGGCUCAAUCCCCAGCCUGGAAGCUCUCUACCCCACGAGUUUCCCUGCCUCCCCCUGGGAUUCAUGCUCUAACGCCCUCCUGGCCGGCAUUCUCUAACACCCGAGCCUUUGGCAUUGACGUGCCCCUGUGCCCCUGGCCACAGCAAUGCUCUUCCUACUGGCUCCAGCCCCGAGCCUCUGGGGAGGCCUUGGCACGCUUGUUCGCAUCAUGCCCUCCCUUUUUGCCAGGAACUGAUGAGGUAAAAGAAGUCAUAAAGGCCGGCCCUCACGCGGAAAGAACUCACAGGCUCAGGCGCCGCAGAUUCAAGGGGCAAAACGUUUUAUUAUGAUGCCAUAAAUCAGGCACAGUGCCCUAGUGGGACUCACAUUUAGUAAGGAGGAAGUUGGGACCUUUUGUGAGAAAAGACUCAAUGCUGGGGUACACUGAAGAUCGGGGGUGCUGGGCAAUGGUUUCUGGUAGCUUCUCUGAAAGAAGUCAGGCUCAAACCACCUCAAAUCAAGCAAAGACACUGAUUUGGCCAUUUGCUUAAGUAAAGGGUAAACCACACUGGGAACCUCCUCUUUAAGGGGGUGGGGACACCCAGCAGAGUGAUGUGAGGGUUUAUUCAGAGAAGGGAAAGGAAGCAAAAAAUAGGAGAAUUUGGCAGCAAGUUGGAUGAGCUCAGUAGAUUUUGCACUUCUUUUACAAUCCCAGGUCGGGCAUGCAUGAGCAAGGUCCCUGUGAAAAGGGUAAAAACCCUUUUGUUCCGGAGCGGGGGCAGCGCCUUAUACAUGGAAAAAGCAAAGGGUCCUUUUAUUCCAAUGAAGUCUCUGAGAGAAAGUGGUAGAACUGCUGGGGCUGCGGCAGCAGCAAACACUCCAUGAUUCCCCUCAAAGACCUGUGACCCAAAUCCCUUUGGGGCCAGGAAGGAAUGUCUCAUUUUCCAUAACUGUUUCCAGCUGAUAAGGGGCAUAGACCUGCUCCUGCUUAAAGGCUUAGUCAUGAGUGAGUGGAGCUGGAUGGGAAUUGCAGCCCAGCACCUUCCACAGGUGGGAGGAGCAGCAUCCACAGGUGGGAGGAGCAGCAUCCACAGGUGGGAGGAGCAGCAUCCACAGGUGGGAGGAGCAGCUUCCACAGGUGGGAGGAGCAGCAUCCUCAGGUGGGAGGAGCGGCAUCCACAGGUGGGAGGAGCGGCAUCCACAGGUGGGAGGAGCGGCAUCCACAGGUGGGAGGAGCGGCAUCCACAGGUGGGAAGAGCAGCAUCCACAGGUGGGAUCACACUUCCAGAGGCUGAGGUGCUGACAGAUAGCUGUCCUGUAGGGCCCUCUGAAAUCUGAUUAACACUUGUCUGAAAGACACAAAUCUUAUUAAAAUGCAAGGACUAAAUCAAAAACAAAAUAUUAAUUAGGAAAGCAUCACUAGAGAGGACAGUAAAUUCCCCCGGAGCUUGUCCCCAAACCCUUUGAAUGUAGCUGCUGAGGAAGGUCAAGUAUCCCACUGACCUUCUUGAGGAUCGGUCGGCCCAUAGUGCAAUUUGUUGGAGGGGGUGGAUGACAACGCACCAGGAAGUAUUGGCCAGAGCACAGAGACCCCCUUCAGAAGCAAAGAGGUGGUCUAAAGUGAAGCAGGAAAAAUUGGAACAAAAGGUUUUGCAGUUGUCAAUGCUGAAAAAUUUCCCAUGCAUAUAUCUGGUAAAUAAAAAGCUAUCAUGGAAAAAAAAAGAA
Molecule: long non-coding RNA, 2311 nt
Organism: Antechinus flavipes (yellow-footed antechinus)
Lineage: Eukaryota; Metazoa; Chordata; Mammalia; Dasyuromorphia; Dasyuridae
Exons: 2
Source: RefSeq, a predicted model, not a curated record